CGGGUGAGAACGCGUGGAUAACCUGCCUCACACUGGGGGAUAACAGUUAGAAAUGACUGCUAAUACCGCAUGAGCGCACAGUACCGCAUGGUACGGUGUGAAAAACUCCGGUGGUGUGAGAUGGAUCCGCGUCUGAUUAGCCAGUUGGCGGGGUAACGGCCCACCAAAGCGACGAUCAGUAGCCGACCUGAGAGGGUGACCGGCCACAUUGGGACUGAGACACGGCCCAA
RNAcentral lists this ribosomal RNA (230 nucleotides) under uncultured bacterium. Its description in RNAcentral is "partial 16S ribosomal RNA". It matches the Rfam family "Bacterial small subunit ribosomal RNA", at positions 103 to 334 of the family's 1533-position model. The record is from RNAcentral.